RNAcentral lists this ribosomal RNA (119 nucleotides) under Bison bison bison. The record is from RNAcentral. Lineage: Eukaryota; Metazoa; Chordata; Mammalia; Artiodactyla; Bovidae.
CCUGGCCCUAUCAGGCCUGAACGGCGCCCGAUCUCGUCUAAUCUCGGAAGCUAAGCAGGGUCGGGCCUGGUUAGUAUCUUGGAUGGGAGACCACCUGGGAAUCCCGGGUGCUCGUAGGC